GAUGAACGCUGGCGGCGUGCCUAAUACAUGCAAGUCGAGCGAACAGACGAGGAGCUUGCUCCUCUGACGUUAGCGGCGGACGGGUGAGUAACACGUGGAUAACCUACCUAUAAGACUGGGAUAACUUCGGGAAACCGGAGCUAAUACCGGAUAAUAUAUUGAACCGCAUGGUUCAAUAGUGAAAGACGGUUUUGCUGUCACUUAUAGAUGGAUCCGCGCCGCAUUAGCUAGUUGGUAAGGUAACGGCUUACCAAGGCGACGAUGCGUAGCCGACCUGAGAGGGUGGUCGGCCACACUGGAACUGAGACACGGUCCAGACUCCUACGGGAGGCAGCAGUAGGGAAUCUUCCGCAAUGGGCGAAAGCUUGACGGAGCAACGCCGCGUGAGUGAUGAAGGUCUUCGGAUCGUAAAACUCUGUUAUUAGGGAAGAACAAAUGUGUAAGUAACUAUGCACGUCUUGACGGUACCUAAUCAGAAAGCCACGGCUAACUACGUG
RNAcentral lists this ribosomal RNA (497 nucleotides) under uncultured bacterium. Its description in RNAcentral is "partial 16S ribosomal RNA". It matches the Rfam family "Bacterial small subunit ribosomal RNA", at positions 28 to 507 of the family's 1533-position model. The record is from RNAcentral.